This 1459-nucleotide small RNA is filed under the name Pongo abelii (Sumatran orangutan). RNAcentral's name for it is "retained intron". Lineage: Eukaryota; Metazoa; Chordata; Mammalia; Primates; Hominidae. The record is from RNAcentral.
GGUGAGUUUAAAUGAGCCGGGGCUGGCCGGGCCGGAGCCGCUACAGGGGGGGCCUGAGGCACUGCAGAAAGUGGGCCUGAGCCUCGAGGAUGACGGUGCUGCAGGAACCCGUCCAGGCUGCUAUAUGGCAAGCACUAAACCACUAUGCUUACCGAGAUGCGGUUUUCCUCGCAGAACGCCUUUAUGCAGAAGUACACUCAGAAGAAGCCUUGUUUUUACUGGCAACCUGUUAUUACCGCUCAGGAAAGGCAUAUAAAGCAUAUAGACUCUUGAAAGGACACAGUUGUACUACACCGCAAUGCAAAUACCUGCUUGCAAAAUGUUGUGUUGAUCUCAGCAAGCUUGCAGAAGGGGAACAAAUCUUAUCUGGUGGAGUGUUUAAUAAGCAGAAAAGCCAUGAUGAUAUUGUUACUGAGUUUGGUGAUUCAGCUUGCUUUACUCUUUCAUUGUUGGGACAUGUAUAUUGCAAGACAGAUCGGCUUGCCAAAGGAUCAGAAUGUUACCAAAAGAGCCUUAGUUUAAAUCCUUUCCUCUGGUCUCCCUUUGAAUCAUUAUGUGAAAUAGGUGAAAAGCCAGAUCCUGACCAAACAUUUAAAUUCACAUCUUUACAGAACUUUAGCAACUGUCUGCCCAACUCUUGCACAACACAAGUACCUAAUCAUAGUUUAUCUCACAGACAGCCUGAGACAGUUCUUACGGAAACACCCCAGGACACAAUUGAAUUAAACAGAUUGAAUUUAGAAUCUUCCAAUUCAAAGUACUCCUUGAAUACAGAUUCCUCAGUGUCUUAUAUUGAUUCAGCUGUAAUUUCACCUGAUACUGUCCCACUGGGAACAGGAACUUCCAUAUUAUCUAAACAGGUUCAAAAUAAACCAAAAACUGGUCGAAGUUUAUUAGGAGGACCAGCAGCUCUUAGUCCAUUAACCCCAAGUUUUGGGAUUUUGCCAUUAGAAACCCCAAGUCCUGGAGAUGGAUCCUAUUUACAAAACUACACUAAUACACCUUCUGUAAUUGACGUGCCAUCCACCGGAGCCCCUUCAAAAAAGACUUUUCAUGUUUUACAGUCUGUUGCCAGAAUCGGCCAAAGUGGAACAAAGUCUGUCUUCUCACAGAGUGGAAAUAGCCGAGAGGUAACUCCAAUUCUUGCACAAACACAAAGUUCUGGUCCACAAACAAGUACAACACCUCAGGUAUUGAGCCCCACUAUUACAUCUCCCACAAACGCACUGCCUCGAAGAAGUUCACGACUCUUUACUAGUGACAGCUCCACAACCAAGAAGGUUUGAUGAGCCUUCUUCGUGAAAUGGGGAAAGGUUAUUUAGCUCUGUGUUCAUACAACUGCAAAGAAGCUAUAAAUAUUUUGAGCCAUCUACCUUCUCACCACUACAAUACUGGUUGGGUACUGUGCCAAAUUGGAAGGGCCUAUUUUGAACUUUCAGAGUACAUGCAAGUAAGUAUA